AAGGGGGUGUUAUUAGUUGUUUAAGUUAAAUUCAACUCCAUUAGAUUUUAAAAUUCAUAAGACUUUCAAAAUCUGGGUUCAUUGAGACUGAUUUAUUAUUCAUUCUUUAAAUCAGUGGAAGUGUAUUUACACUGACACAUGAUAUCUUUUGGUUUUGAACAAUAGAAUUGAAUUCUCUAACAAAUGAUUUUACAAUUUUCAAUGAAAUUAUACCAAACUUUUACCAUCACGUAUUUUUUUCCCAUUUCAAAUUUCUGUAUUGAAGUCUUAACAUAUCUUUU
Molecule: long non-coding RNA, 281 nt
Filed under: Capsella grandiflora
Lineage: Eukaryota; Viridiplantae; Streptophyta; Magnoliopsida; Brassicales; Brassicaceae
Description: long non-coding RNA (CGRA_LNC001077)
Source: RNAcentral